CCAGGCUGAAANGCGAGUUGGAAAGUACGGCGAACGUGAAUACUCAAAUAUCGGCACCAGCUUAGUCGCUGGGUGUCGGUGAAAGUCCUUGACGAUGUCGGUUUGUCACCGAUGUCAAAGUUAUAG
This 126-nucleotide unclassified non-coding RNA is filed under the name Sphaerotilus montanus. Its description in RNAcentral is "partial 16-23S ribosomal RNA intergenic spacer". The record is from RNAcentral. Lineage: Bacteria; Pseudomonadati; Pseudomonadota; Betaproteobacteria; Burkholderiales; Sphaerotilaceae.